AGCUGUUCUGAAUCAGAGGAUUGUUUCACUUGUCCAUAGGAAUAGAGGUUUUGAAGGAAAAGAAAAUUUUAAAAACAAAACCAAUUAAAAAAUGCACCUUCUCUUCCCCAAACUCUACCUCAUGGCUGACAUCAUGGGAAGACGCCUCGGUAACAAAGAAUAUUGUUUGGCUUUGUCCUUCACAUUCCAAGCUCUAUCCACUUUCCAGCAACCAUGCACAUUUCAUUUUUUGCCUUUCCCAUUCCAGAUAUUUUCCAAUUUCUCCCAAGGAUUUACCAAGACAUGCUAUAUCAGCUAAUGAUGGUUCUUGGGAAGAUUAUGUCAUAAUGAAGGCGGAGAAUCUGGUCAUCUAUAUAUAUGUGAUCUGACCUGAGCCCUUUCUUUGGGUUUCAUUGAGCAAUGCACUAAUAGAGUCAACGUAGGCAAACAGCUGCCACCCUCACCAUGAAAAUAGAAGGUGCCUCGGUGGUCCUUGCUCUGGCAUUUUUCUGCUUCUUCUCAGAUGCUGCCAGCCAAGCUUCGAUUAAGG
This is a long non-coding RNA of Pezoporus flaviventris, 529 nucleotides long. RefSeq lists it as uncharacterized. The record is from RefSeq and is a predicted model, not a curated record. The transcript is spliced from 3 exons. Lineage: Eukaryota; Metazoa; Chordata; Aves; Psittaciformes; Psittacidae.